ACUCAAAUGAAUAGACGGGGACCCGCACAAGCGGUGGAGCGUGUUGUUUAAUUCGAUGGUAAGCGAAGAACCUUACCAAGGUUUGACAUCCUAGGAAUCUUCCCGAAAGGAAAGAGUGCUUUAUUGAGCCUAGUGACAGGUGUUGCAUGGCCGUCGUCAGCUCGUGUCGUGAGAUGUUUGGUUAAGUCCAUCAACGAGCGCAACCCUUAUAGUUAGUUGGAUUUUUCUAGCUAGACUGCCCCGGCAACGGGGAGGAAGGAGGGGAUGAUGUCAGGUCAGUAUUACCCUUACACCUUGGGCUACAAACACGCUACAAUGGCCGGUACAAAGGGCAGCCAACCCGCGAGGGGGAGCAAAUCCCAUCAAAGCCGGUCUCAGUUCGGAUUGCAGGCUGAAACUCGCCUGCAUGAAGCUGGAAUCGCUAGUAACGGUAGGUCAGCUACACUACCGUGAAUACGUUCCCGGGUCUUGUACACACCGCCCGU
Molecule: ribosomal RNA, 485 nt
Filed under: uncultured bacterium
Lineage: Bacteria
Description: partial 16S ribosomal RNA
Rfam family: Bacterial small subunit ribosomal RNA
Source: RNAcentral